RNAcentral lists this long non-coding RNA (325 nucleotides) under Bos taurus (domestic cattle). RNAcentral describes it as "long non-coding RNA NONBTAT019373". The record is from RNAcentral. Lineage: Eukaryota; Metazoa; Chordata; Mammalia; Artiodactyla; Bovidae.
AUUUAAUUUAGGAUUUUUGUUUUGUUUUACAAUUCACAUGGAAAAAUACAGACAGAUCAUUCUCAAGAAUGCCUAUACCCAAAGAACCUGAAAGAGAUCUCUGUAGAAGGAAGCCAAAGGAUAGGCUUAUGUUUAAAUAGCUAGAUUCAGUCCUUCACUUCCAUAAAGGAAUGUUAAAAUACUAACCUAUGAUACUAUAUAUCGGAGAGAAAACAGCAUGGUCUUUGAAAAUAUUUAUGAGAAUAUAACUUGUGGCAAUUCAUUUCUGUUUAUUUGAUGCCAUAAUUAUGAAUGAUUUUUAAACACUGAAAAUCUGAAUUAUAUA